Molecule: ribosomal RNA, 494 nt
Filed under: uncultured bacterium
Lineage: Bacteria
Description: partial 16S ribosomal RNA
Rfam family: Bacterial small subunit ribosomal RNA
Source: RNAcentral
ACGAACGCUGGCGGCGUGCCUAAUACAUGCAAGUAGAACGCUGAAGGAGGAGCUUGCUUCUCUGGAUGAGUUGCGAACGGGUGAGUAACGCGUAGGUAACCUGCCUGGUAGCGGGGGAUAACUAUUGGAAACGAUAGCUAAUACCGCAUAAUAGUAGAUGUCGCAUGACAUUUGCUUAAAAGGUGCAAUUGCAUCACUACCAGAUGGACCUGCGUUGUAUUAGCUAGUUGGUGAGGUAACGGCUCACCAAGGCAACGAUACAUAGCCGACCUGAGAGGGUGAUCGGCCACACUGGGACUGAGACACGGCCCAGACUCCUACGGGAGGCAGCAGUAGGGAAUCUUCGGCAAUGGACGGAAGUCUGACCGAGCAACGCCGCGUGAGUGAAGAAGGUUGUCGGAUCGUAAAGCUCUGUUGUAAGAGAAGAACGAGUGUGAGAGUGGAAAGUUCACACUGUGACGGUAUCUUACCAGAAAGGGACGGCUAACUACGUG